Molecule: unclassified non-coding RNA, 2471 nt
Filed under: Bactrocera latifrons
Lineage: Eukaryota; Metazoa; Arthropoda; Insecta; Diptera; Tephritidae
Description: kH domain-containing, RNA-binding, signal transduction-associated protein 3-like, transcript variant X3
Source: RNAcentral
UGAUUAGGCAUCACUGGUAAUUUUAUCCACAUAAGUUUGUUGUAUAUGAGAGUUUCUUUUAUGUGUAAAAGCUUGCAGAAAAAGGUUUCUUAAAAACUAUUAAAAUGGCCAGUAAUUUUAAUGAGGAAGGUCCAACACGUAAAAAUGAGGAAUAUGAAGGUCCUCGAAUUAAUGGAGUUGCUCAGAAGUUUCUUGCGGACCUGAACGAAGAACGAGAACGCUUAGGUAGCGAAUUUCCUUUAUGUGUUCAGGUCAUUGACGAAGCAAUUGAACGAGUGUACACAACUGGUCGAAUUCCAGGCACUGAAUACUUGGCUGAUGUGUAUAAACAAAAACCAAUGAAGAUUACUCAAAAAGUGUUCGUUCCUGUUAAGCAAUAUCCCAAGUUCAACUUUACAGGAAAAUUAUUGGGGCCGAAGGGUAAUUCAUUAAGACGUUUACAUGAAGAGACGCAGUGUAAAAUUAUUAUAAAAGGCCGUGGUUCAAUGCGGGACCGUAAUAAGGAAGAAGAACUAAGACAAUCAGGUGAUCCUCAACAUGCGCACCUAAAUAGAGAUCUCUUCAUAGAAAUAAGCACUGUAGCAACUCCUGCUGAGGCACAUGCACGAAUUGCUUACGCUUUAGCAGAAAUACGUAAAUAUCUUGUACCAGAUAAAAACGAUGAAGUUUCACAAGAACAACUGCGGGAACUUAUGGAAAUAGAUCCAAAAUCUGCUGAAACAUAUUCAAAGACGGUGCUUAAUAAGUUCUCGACUGGUGAAGGUGCAUCUAAAUUUUUAAAUCUAAUUAAGCAUCACGGCGCUUCCCCAGAGAGUUUAGAGGAACAGUAUGAAGAAAUAAUUGAAUAUCAACCUCGAAUCCCAAAGCGUACUAUUCCAACUCCAUAUAUAAAAGUCCAUAUUGGUAAACGUUGCAAGUUGGAUUUAAUAUGAAAGUAUAUAAUGAAAAAAUAUAGUAAUAGUAGCGUGUUGUGGCACAGGAAGUUCCUAAACCACCUAUUAGAACGAAGGAAUACAUCUUAAAUUUUCAACAAGUUUUACGAAUGUAAUCGCCCUUUUCAACGUCAUCGAUGAACAAAACUCGGACAAAUAAAAUUUUGAGAUACAACUCAACGAGAUAAUGGAACAUUACAAUAAAAAACAUAAAAACUUUAUUCGAUUUUCGAUGGUAAAAAUUGGAAGCAUCAGUACACCCCGACGAUGUUAUAUAUCAUAAUUUGAAUGCACCUCUCAGCUGAGUCCCAGUUGAAUAGAGUCAACAAUUUGGAUCUUAUCCGAAUGAAGAUAGAGAACUAACUUGGAUAAAUAAUCAACAUGGCAAAUGUUAAACAAGAUCUGGUCAUCUGUUACAAAUGCUUGAAGAGCAUAUAACCAAAAAAUAUAUGUGUUAACAUAUCGAACUUGGACCUGCGUAGUUCUUGUCAAGUGUCCUGUGAAUCAAAAAUAUGAUGUUGAUAAAUAUGAAUAAAUCAUAUCUCAAUUUGUGUUAAAAAUCGUAUUUAUUCGAUUAUUCUAACAAAUGUAUUCGCGAAGACAUAUAAGUGUGUCGCUAAGCAAUUAUAUACUGCGGAUUCGGUCAAGUGGGCCAUGGCCUCGUUUGAGAAAUUCAAGUCUCCGGGUGUGGAUGGAUAUCGAAGGUGCUUUUGACAACACAUCUCACAUGAGUGUAGCCGGGGCACUGGAAGAAAGUAAUGUGGCAGCACCGGUGCGUAGAUUGAUAGAGGCCGUACUGCGUACCAGAAUUGCUGAAACCACAGUAGGAGAUACAAGGCUUCGUCUUGGCAGAACAAGAGGCUGCCCACAGGGGGGUGUGCUAUCACUGUCUGCAUGUCGGGCGCAAUGCGCACUUGUCCAACGGCAGCAUUGGGUGUCCUGCACACACUUCUGGGUGUGGCAAAGGCAAGGUAAUCUCGUCCAACAGCAGCUUUGGAUGUCCUGCUUGAACCUACACCGCUUCAUUUAGUGAUCGGUCAAGUAGCCAAGCACACACUUCUGCGUGUGGCAAAGGCAAGGUAAUCUCGUUCCAAAGGAUGGAAGUGAUAAGUGACAAUAUACUAUUAGCCCUCCUCCAGAAGGAUAGCAUUACUAAAACUGUUAACUUCACGAAGAAGUUUAAGGUUACCCUCGGCAGCAAGGGUGGCUCGAAAACGUCGGAGGGAAUCGCUGCAGGGAUCGAGGGUUCACGCACCUAGCUCUCCAUACCUAUGGGAAGUUUAACGAGCAUUAUCCAGGCAGAAGUCUUUGCCAUAAGUCAGUGCAUAGAGAUAAACCUACAUCACCACUAUCACAAUGAGCGGAUAACCAUACUUAGCGAUAGUAAAGCGGCACUUAAAGCGAUCUCCUAAUACGGGAUCAAAUCGCUACUAGUGCGGGAGUGUAGACAACGGCUGAACAGCCUAGCAGAACGAACCAGGUGCACCUAAUUUGGGUGCCUGGUACAGCGGUAAGCCAGUGAUGAACUGGCUGAUGAUG